RNAcentral lists this unclassified non-coding RNA (520 nucleotides) under uncultured Glomus. Its description in RNAcentral is "SSU rRNA". It matches the Rfam family "Eukaryotic small subunit ribosomal RNA", at positions 569 to 1091 of the family's 1831-position model. The record is from RNAcentral. Lineage: Eukaryota; Fungi; Glomeromycota; Glomeromycetes; Glomerales; Glomeraceae.
AGCAGCCGCGGUAAUUCCAGCUCCAAUAGCGUAUAUUAAAGUUGUUGCAGUUAAAAAGCUCGUAGUUGAAUUUCGGGAUCAGUUGAUCGGUCGUGCCUCGGUACGUACUGGUCAAAUUGAUUCCUACCUUCUGACGAACCACGAUGUCAUUAAUUUGGUGUCGUGGGAAAUCAGGACUGUUACUUUGAAAAAAUUAGAGUGUUUAAAGCAGGCUCGCGCUUGAAUACAUUAGCAUGGAAUAAUGAAAUAGGACGUUUGAUUCUAUUUUGUUGGUUUCUAGGAUCGACGUAAUGAUUAAUAGGGAUAGUUGGGGGCAUUAGUAUUCAAUUGUCAGAGGUGAAAUUCUUGGAUUUAUUGAAGACUAACUACUGCGAAAGCAUUUGCCAAGGAUGUUUUCAUUAAUCAAGAACGAAAGUUAGGGGAUCGAAGACGAUCAGAUACCGUCGUAGUCUUAACCAUAAACUAUGCCGACUAGGAAUCGGAUGAUGUUAAUUUUUUAAUGACUCAUUCGGCGCCUUAC